AUUAGGGUAGCUAGCCAGGCCCACGCAAAAGACUUAAAAUCUUAAUACGAAGGUUCAAAUCCUUCCCCUAACC
RNAcentral lists this transfer RNA (73 nucleotides) under Varanus exanthematicus. RNAcentral's name for it is "tRNA-Leu". It matches the Rfam family "tRNA". Rfam says of the family: Transfer RNA (tRNA) molecules are approximately 80 nucleotides in length. Their secondary structure includes four short double-helical elements and three loops (D, anti-codon, and T loops). Lineage: Eukaryota; Metazoa; Chordata; Lepidosauria; Squamata; Varanidae. The record is from RNAcentral.